RNAcentral lists this ribosomal RNA (1520 nucleotides) under Corynebacterium rouxii. Its description in RNAcentral is "bacterial SSU rRNA". It matches the Rfam family "Bacterial small subunit ribosomal RNA". The record is from RNAcentral. Lineage: Bacteria; Bacillati; Actinomycetota; Actinomycetes; Mycobacteriales; Corynebacteriaceae.
UUAUGGAGAGUUUGAUCCUGGCUCAGGACGAACGCUGGCGGCGUGCUUAACACAUGCAAGUCGAACGGAAAGGCCUCAGCUUGCUGGGGUACUCGAGUGGCGAACGGGUGAGUAACACGUGGGUGAUCUGCCUCGUACUUCGGGAUAAGCCUGGGAAACUGGGUCUAAUACUGGAUAGGACCAUGCUUUAGUGUGUGUGGUGGAAAGUUUUUUCGGUACGAGAUGAGCCCGCGGCCUAUCAGCUUGUUGGUGGGGUAAUGGCCUACCAAGGCGUCGACGGGUAGCCGGCCUGAGAGGGUGGACGGCCACAUUGGGACUGAGAUACGGCCCAGACUCCUACGGGAGGCAGCAGUGGGGAAUAUUGCACAAUGGGCGCAAGCCUGAUGCAGCGACGCCGCGUGGGGGAUGACGGCCUUCGGGUUGUAAACCUCUUUCGCUAGGGACGAAGCUUUUUGUGACGGUACCUAGAUAAGAAGCACCGGCUAACUACGUGCCAGCAGCCGCGGUAAUACGUAGGGUGCGAGCGUUGUCCGGAAUUACUGGGCGUAAAGAGCUCGUAGGUGGUUUGUCGCGUCGUCUGUGAAAUUCCGGGGCUUAACUUCGGGCGUGCAGGCGAUACGGGCAUAACUUGAGUGCUGUAGGGGAGACUGGAAUUCCUGGUGUAGCGGUGGAAUGCGCAGAUAUCAGGAGGAACACCGAUGGCGAAGGCAGGUCUCUGGGCAGUAACUGACGCUGAGGAGCGAAAGCAUGGGGAGCGAACAGGAUUAGAUACCCUGGUAGUCCAUGCCGUAAACGGUGGGCGCUAGGUGUAGGGGUCUUCCACGACUUCUGUGCCGUAGCUAACGCAUUAAGCGCCCCGCCUGGGGAGUACGGCCGCAAGGCUAAAACUCAAAGGAAUUGACGGGGGCCCGCACAAGCGGCGGAGCAUGUGGAUUAAUUCGAUGCAACGCGAAGAACCUUACCUGGGCUUGACAUAUGCAGGAUCGGCGUAGAGAUACGUUUUCCCUUGUGGUCUGUAUACAGGUGGUGCAUGGUUGUCGUCAGCUCGUGUCGUGAGAUGUUGGGUUAAGUCCCGCAACGAGCGCAACCCUUGUCUUAUGUUGCCAGCACGUGAUGGUGGGGACUCAUGAGAGACUGCCGGGGUUAACUCGGAGGAAGGUGGGGAUGACGUCAAAUCAUCAUGCCCCUUAUGUCCAGGGCUUCACACAUGCUACAAUGGUCGGUACAACGCGCUGCGAGCCUGUGAGGGUGAGCGAAUCGCUGAAAGCCGGCCUCAGUUCGGAUUGGGGUCUGCAACUCGACCCCAUGAAGUCGGAGUCGCUAGUAAUCGCAGAUCAGCAACGCUGCGGUGAAUACGUUCCCGGGCCUUGUACACACCGCCCGUCACGUCAUGAAAGUUGGUAACACCCGAAGCCAGUGGCCUAACCUUUGUGGGAGGAGCUGUCGAAGGUGGGAUCGGCGAUUGGGACGAAGUCGUAACAAGGUAGCCGUACCGGAAGGUGCGGCUGGAUCACCUCCUU